CUAUGACCACUCCCAACCCAUGAGCACCAUCACCCUCGGGUUCCCAGCAUGCCUACAGUUUGAUGGGCUCAGUGUGGCACAACAACGCACCCUUCCCCCCAUGGAACCCUCCCCCCUGGGCAGACCCGGGUCCUGGCACAUCCUGGCAGAGCAACUGUCACUUCCGCAGCAAUGCCCAUCCCAGUGUCCCCAUCACCACUUCCUCACCCAAACGCACACCCGCAUCCUUCCCUGCACACAUUGAGCGAUUCUCCUCCUGCCUGACUGCAGCACCACUGUGCUCAGCCCCACGAAAUGGGGGUCUGCAGGAGGGGACCUCCAGUCCUGGCUGGAGCUGGGGAUGUGCUGCUCGGCUGCGUGCUGCUGGUGAUGGCUGGGGGUCUGCAGAGCUGCCAUGCCUCCGUGGUGCUGAAGGGGAAGCAGGGACAGCCACUGUCCUUUCCGGAGCUGCGCCCCGUGGCUGAGGACAUCGUGAGGAUCACCUGGAUGUCUGAAAGGCACGGCACACACAUUGCCGAGGCCAAGCCUAGGGUGAAGGAGUUUGCAGUGGGUUUCCUGCCUGAAUUCCAAGACCGGCUGCGAAUCCAUCCCCAGGUACUGUCGCUGGAGAUCACAGAGCUGCGCAGCACAGAUAUAGGCCGGUACUCUGCAGUGGUGGACACCGCCUCCAAGCCCAGCAGCCCCAGUACAUUUUCCUACCUUGUGGUUCUCGAUCACCCCCCUGGGACAACUGACAGCGACACAGGAGGACACAGCAGGAGCACAUCUGGACCAACAAUGAGCUCUGAGCCCGGUGCUGGGGAGGGGACCACACUGGGCCCGGGCAAGGGGCAGCUCCCAGGUGCUGGGGAGGCUCCGGGGCCAUGUGGGGCACGGGGUGGGUACUGCAUGCUCAGGGGGUAUCUGGUGGCCUCUGUGUUUGGCCCACUGGUGGUGCUGCUAGUGGCUGUGCACGUGGUGACCAGGCAUUGAGACUGGGAGAUGAGUGGGACCCACACUGGGUUCCAGAGGGACAAGAGUGGGGUCUGAGCCCACCCAGAACAACCCCACAGUUCUCCCAUGAUCACUGCGUUCAACCAGACAGGAAAAGCCACAUUCACCACAUUCAGUGAAGCCUUGUGAGGGCAUGAAAUGCAUUUCCUCAUCUCUUGUACAAGCCCCAAACCCAGUGGCACUACUUCCUCCCAGUGGCCACACAAACCCCACUGUAUCCCAGCACUCCCAGUCCGGGAUCUCCUCCUUUAUGGGGUCAGCACUGAAUUCGUACCCACAGCCCUGAAUUUGGUGUGAGGUAACAAUUCAGCAUCUCAUCCAACCUUCCACAGUUUAUAAGAAGUGAAUUAUUUACUGGUGACCCCAACUAAACGCUGCACGGCAUAAAUUAUGGACGGGCAGAUCUGUCAAAAAGUUCUCAUAAAUAAGUGAUCCGGUGCCAUCUUCGUGUUCCCAGAAAAUUACUCAUCCAAUCUCCUGUCUAAAUGCUCUCCUGGGAAAACUCCUCACACCCGCUCUGCUGCUUUAUGAAUGGGAGUGGGAAGGUAAAGGGCAAUGGGGAGGGAGAACCCCGUGGGAUCCUCCCCACAUCCAUGUAAUGUUCAGAGCCUAUGGUGUAGGGUGGGGGGAGCUGCGGGGGUCACCCCUUGGGGACCUGGGGAGCACAGGGCAGUGUGGAUCCUGCCCUUCCCUAUGCAUCUCUUCCAUUUAUUGGGGGACACAUCCCCUCCAGCAAUACCACAGGGCUCCUCCAGAUCCAUGAGCAGAGCCCCAUCACAACUCCAUAGCAAUGCCCUGGGACAGAGAGAAAGCACUAAGGCACACCCCAUGUUCCCCACCACCCACCCCACCCCACCCCGCGUUUGCGUUAAUAAUUGAAUGCCAGUCUGGGGGACAAUGAUUUAUUUAAAGGAAACAACA
Long non-coding RNA from Gallus gallus (chicken), 1914 nucleotides. The record is from Ensembl. Lineage: Eukaryota; Metazoa; Chordata; Aves; Galliformes; Phasianidae.